Molecule: long non-coding RNA, 14210 nt
Filed under: Vitis vinifera (wine grape)
Lineage: Eukaryota; Viridiplantae; Streptophyta; Magnoliopsida; Vitales; Vitaceae
Description: long non-coding RNA (VVIN_LNC005498)
Source: RNAcentral
GUGCAUGUGUGUUGUUUAUUUUGGAUGAGAUGAGAAGGAAAUCAUUGAAGGGGGAAAAUGCCACCACAGGUGAAGGAUUGGAUUGGGGAGUAUUGUUUGGUUUUGGACCAGGCUUGACCAUCGAGACCGUUGUGCUGCAUAGCAUACCUAUGAUUACAAAUUGAGUGAAGAAUGAUAAGAAAAUUUAUAUACAAGCCAUGUCUUAUUGUAUUAAGGAGGUGUUAAUGAAGAUAUAUACAUAUAUCUGCAAAGCUUGUAAUAAUCCUACAAUAAUUUAUUCCUAUCAUAAAAUUGAGGGAUUGUAAUUUAGUGAUCGUUGGAGAUUGUAGAGACCUCAAGUUAAAAAAGUGAGACUUCAAGUUCUUGUCAUUUUAUAUUCUUGAAGUUCCCUUGAAAUUUUUAAUUUUCUAUUCUCAUAAAUUCCAUUGAAAAGAAAGAAAGAAUUAUAUAUAUAACAUUGAUUUCAAUUUUGGUAAUGUAACUAAGAAAUUUUCACCUUAAUUUACUUUGCACUUGUUUGAAUUUUGAUUGAACACAAAUAUAAUUACAAAUUUUCUUAUAAUAAAUUAUAGUCACUCCUAAAUGUUUAUGCCAAAGCCUAGUACCCUAAAUUAUAGUUUAUGUGUAACAAUAGCAAGAAUACGGUGAAUAAAGGUAAAUCUCAUCAAUGGGGAAAAUGUCUCUACAUAAUCUAUUCAUUCUCUUUGGGUAUAACUUUUUUCCAUUAAGCGAGUGUGGACUCGUAUUUUUCACGUGUGCUCCGACUAGAUCGGCGAGACUUGCUUUUAUUGGUGAAGAACUUAGUUUUGGAAAAGUCGGAGUCACCACUUAUUUUAUUUUAUUUUAAAAGGGAAAAUAAAACAAGAAAGAAAACCCUAAAGAAGUGACUCCAUAGUUUUUUUUUUUGGAAACACGUGUCUUUGAAAAACCCGAGUCUUGGUUCGGGGAUCAGGUUACCUAUUGGGAAGGUACCUUUAAAAGGUAGCACCCCUCUAAGUCUUACAAAGGUCUCUACUGACUAAGUUGAGGGAAUUGGGGCAAUUAAUUGGUUGGUUGAGGCUACCUAGGUAGACUAAGGUGAUUUUUUUUUUUAAAUAGUAUGCUAAACAAGAAAACCAAUCACAAAUCAUAAAGAAGAUUUAGAGAGCGUACCUAGACUGCUUCUUAAGCGCUAUCACAAGACAUCAAAGUUAGUUCAAAUAAUAUAUCAUCCAGCAUGUGCUUUAUUAGAAAUAAUCAAACAAGGAAACAAUGUAUCAAGACACCCAAACACUAUCAAACAUAGGUGCGGUUCACAGUGACAAUCAUAUUCAUAGAAUUUAGAAGGUAGGUGAUAGGGGGUGUACCUGGAUAGCAUAGAUAACUCAUAACAUGCAUCCACGAGACAUGAGGGGGUUAAAUAAUAAAUAAUAAAAUAAAGAAAUCCUAGCAUGCUUGUUAUUUAAUUAGCAUAGCAAAAAUGAUCAAAGUAUACGAAAUCAUCAAUGAUCACAGUAUAAAGAAUCAUCAAUGAUCACAUACAUCUUGUAUAUAAUUCCUAAAAAAAUUGAUGAUUUUGAUUAUAGAAAGUAGCUAAAGUGGCAGGAAAUGUGAGUUUUGGAAAGAUUAUUUUAUGUAGGGGUCUCAUCAAGUCCCCAGUUAAUAUUCACAAAUUUAACCUGUGUAUUCCCAUUAGCUUGGGAACACAAGCUCAAACCUAUGUUGAGAAAAUAAAAUUUUGGAAACUGAGAAAAAGGAAUACAACUUGGAUAAAACUAAGUUGCAUAUUUUUUUAAAAAGAAAGUGAGAUCUUUGCACUAAAAUCCUAGAAUGGAUUUUUAUUAUUAUUUUAAAAAAAUUGUUAAAAGAUUUUAAUUCCUUUGAGAAUGAUUUUAGGAAAGCAAAAGGAACCAUGUGAUUUGAUAAAUCCAUAACACAGGACACAAAAUGAAGAUUUUUCUUUUUCUUUUCAUUUCUAAUUUAAAAGGGGUUUGAAAACAAAAUAAUAUCAACUUGGAUCCCCUUAUUGGCUACCUUUUCAUUUGGGAUCUAGGAGCCACAUCUUUGAUGGAGAAUAUUCAUUUUUUUUUGAAAGAAAAUAAGUUAUUUUGACAUAAUUCAAGAUGUCAAUUUAAAAGAGCUCUUUUCUUAAUAAAAAGGUUUGAGUUCAAGACUUAAAAGAGUUCAAUUAAAAAAUAACUAGAAUUGUCGACUUGAAAACAUGGAAAAAAUUUAACUAAAACCUAAAUCCUAAAAACUAAGUGGAUUCAAUCAAAGUAAAAAGUUAUCAAUUUAAAGACGUGACAAGAAUUUGACUAAAACUAAGAUUUUAAAAUAAAAAUAAAUAAAUAAACAAAUGAGGUCAAUCCAACUAAAAGAAACCACUAAGAGGAAACAUAGAUUUAACUAAAACAAAAAUUCUAACCAACUUAAUAAUUGCAAUGAUCAAUCAAACUCAGGAAUUAUCAAUUUAAAAAUAGGCAUGAAUUAAACUAUGACUACAAUAUAACUAGCAUAAUAACUAUAAGCCUUAAUAUUUAACUAAUUAUCAAUUUGGACAUACCACAUAAUUAUCUAAAACUAAAUUUUUUAACAAACUUAAUAAUUAGCCUAACUAGAGUUAUUAAUAAAGACAAGACAUGGCUAAAAAACAAACUCAUAAACAAAAUGAAAUCAACCAAGAGAAUUAAAAAGUGCAAUAUGAAGUUAAUGAUAUGGAAUCAAAUGAAUUAGCCAACCAAAAUUCUAAAGAUAUUAAGUACAUGGACUAUAGUGAAACUUAUAAAAACUAACACCGAGAUAUAAAAAAAAGAACUAACGAAGGACUAAUACACCCAACAAAUAUAAUUAUUAAGGAUACAAAUCAACAAAGGAAUCGUCAAAUUAAUACUAGAGAAAAAUAAGCAAUGAAGUAGUAGGAAAUCAAUGAGAACUAGGUAAUAAUAAAACCAAUAUCUCAAGACUUUUAAGCCACAAACUAACAAAAGGUAAAUGGAAACUAAUAACAUAAGAUUUGAAGAAGAUUAUUGAAGAAUCACGGAUCCUAAAAAUAGAUAAAUAUGAAAGAAUCAAGGUGAGAUUAAAAGGAUGACAAAGAACUAAAGAUUACAUUUUGCUGUUGCGUAUUUCUUUUAAAAAUUUGGUUGCUUUGAUUCAAAAAAAACUGGUGCCCUUUCAAUUAAAAAAUUUAGCGACAUUCUUACUCAAAAUACCUUCUAGUGCUCUCUCAUUUAAGAAAUUUGGCGUCAUUCUCACUUAACUGACGCUCUUUUAUUUAAAAAUCUGGUGGCUUUCUCAAAUAUUUUGGUGCUCUCUCAUUUAAAAAUCUUGUGGCUCUCUCACUUAAAGAAAAUUUUUUUCGUGCACUCUUAUUUAAAUAUUUGGUGGCUUUCUCAAAUAUUUUGGUGCUCUCUCAUUUAAAAAUCUUGUGGCUCUCUCACUUAAAGAAAUUUUUUUUGGUGCACUCUUAUUUAAAAAUCUGGUGGCUUUCUCAAAUAUUUUGGUGCUCUCUCAUUUAAAAAUAUGGUGGUUCUCUCACUUAAAGAAAAAAUUUUGGUGCACUCUUAUUUAAAAAUCUGGUGGCUUUCUCAAAUAUUUUGGAGCUCUCUCAUUUAAAAAUCUGGUGGCUAUCUCACUUAAAGAAAAAUUUUGGUACACUUUUAUUUAAAAAUCUGGUGGCUUUCUCAAAUAUUUUGGUGCUCUCUCAUUUAAAAAUCUAGUGGCUAUAAAUUUCAUUCUACACCAGCCCUGAUUUUAAAGCAAUAUCAAUCCACAUUUUUUUUUAUUUCACAACAGUUUGACAACAACCCAUAUUUCAUGUAUAAAUCAUCUUAUAUUCGAUCAAAGAUACGACCCAAAAUUUAAAUAAUAACCAACCUUGAUUCUAAGCUAAUCCAACUUGAAAAUCUUACCCAAUAUCAACCUAAAUGCUUGGCUAAAUAAAAUUCAGACAUGUCUCAAAAUGCAAUGCAGAAUUUUGGUCAAGUUCAAUCAAGUUCUCCAAACAAACAAAGCUUGGAAUUAGAUAUUAUGAAAUGUUAACACUAUUAAUCAAGAAUUCUUAAAUCUAAAAUAUUAUCACACAACUGAAGGAAUAUAAAAAAUUUGUAAAAAGUAAAUAAAUAUAAUCCAUCAAAGUUCUAAAAAAAAAAAAAAAUCAAAACUUAAAAUUGAAAAUAAAUAACAAACUAAUGUGUUCAAAAUUUACCUUUGGUAGAGGAAGAGAAAAUGUUGUUGUUUGGCUGUUGGUGAAAAAAAGUUGUUGAUAGUGAGUGUUCCUUCAAAAUUUUUCUAGUGUGUACAAUGUACAAAAAAAAUACAUCCUCUUUUUCUAUCUCCUUUGAUGGUACGACUCUUUGAUGCAGUAGUGCUUCCCAAAGCUUUUCUGGUGCGGUCCAUCUCUCUCUUCUCUCCCAAUCGAUCUCUCUUAUUUCUCAAUCAAUCUCUCUCACCCUCAAUGGCGUGACUGCCAAUCCUCACGUUCCAGAAUGGUAUGCCAAUCCUCAUCUUCUCCCAACAAGCCAAGCUUUUCAGGUCCCCCUCUUUGCUUCAGAAUGGUGCGGCUGCACCUUUUCUUUUCAUUUUUCUGCUGCAAAUUGUGCUCCAUUUCUUGAAAAACCAAACUUUGAAAGCCCUAUCCACAUGCUGACAUUUUUUUCUCAAUGGUGUGGCUGCACCUCAUUUUCUCUAAGGUGCGACUGCACCUCCACUUCCCGUUUUUUCCACUCCCCAUCGUGCCCCCUCUUCUACUCCCCCUCUCAUUCCUUCCAUUCUCACUUUCCUUUAUUUUCUUUCCCUCUUCUUCUCUGGUAAUGCAUCUUGAAUUAUUUUCCUUAGACACCACCUCAAUCUUUCCAUACUCAUGAUGAAUUUUCCUUCUUAAACCUAGCCCCAUUUCGUCCAUAUGCAUGUUGAAUUUUCCUCAUAGAUGCAAUCUAUUCAUUCCAAUUCAUAUGAAUCUUUCUUUUCAACGCAAUCCUAUUCAUUCCAAAUUCAUAUUCAAUCUUCCACAUAAGUGCGACCCCUUUUAUUUAAUUUGAAUCUUCCUCAUAAAUGCAACCCCUUUCAUUCUAUAUUCAUUUUGAAUUUUCCUUAAAAAAAAUGGUCUUCUCUUUCUUCAAAUUUUCUUCCCUUUAGUAAAUGAUUUAUUCUCUAAUUAGUCUUUCAAACUUCCCUUCCCCAUUGACCUUUCAUUUGGUAAGUCUUACUCUCUCUCUUGCAGCCCCUUUCAUAAUUGAAUUAAAUAUCUAAGCAUAGGCUAAAUGUUGUAUGGUAUUUUUCGAAGCAUGAGAAGAGUCCUUAAUGGUAAGAUUCAAUCGGCCACCCUUUCCUUUUCAUUGAUAAAUUUCCUUACAAAAGCACAAAAUUAUUAUAUUAAAUAAAUGAAUAAAAGAGGUAUUUUAGAAAAUGAUAGAAUAAAAUAAAUAAAUAAAUAAAUAAAAAUGAAAAAAAUUAUAAUAUAAGUAAAUAAUCAUAAAAAAAAGUGUCGCUCAAGCCAUGCAAAAANNNNNNNNNNNNNNNNNNNNNNNNNNNNNNNNNNNNNNNNNNNNNNNNNNNNNNNNNNNNNNNNNNNNNNNNNNNNNNNNNNNNNNNNNNNNNNNNNNNNGUAAAUAAUCAUAAAAAAAAGUGUCGCUCAAGCCAUGCAAAAAUGUGAGCCAUGCAAUCAUGCAUGCCAUGCAACCUAUGCAAAGAUUACUUAAACCUAGGUGGGCUAAGGAGUGCUUAGGUGGAUCAAGUGUGGCUAAGAUGGGCUAGAUGUGCUUAUGUGGGCCAAGUGUGCUUAGAUGGGCCAUGGUAUCCUUUGAUGGGCCUAGGGUGCCUAAGUGGGCCUAAGGUGGUGCCUAAUGGGCCAAGUGUACUUAAGUGGGCCUAAGUGCACUAAGCCCAAUGAAGUGUCUAAGUGGGCCUAAGGUUGUGUGUAAUGGGCCAAGAGUGCCUAAGUGGGCCUAAGGUGGUACCUAAUGGGCUAAGUGUACCCAAAGGGGCCUAGAGUGCCUAAGUGGGCCUGAGGUGGUGCCUAAUGGACCAAAUGUACCUAAAUGGGCCUAGGAGGCCUAAGUGGGCCUAAGGUGGUGCCUAAUGGGCCAUGUGCAUCGAAAUGGGCAUAAGGUGCCUAAUGAGCCUAAAGUGGUGCCUAAUGGGUCAUGUGUAUCUAAAUGGGCAUAAGGUGCCUAAUGGGCUUAAAGUGGUGCCUAAUGAGCCAUGUGUAUCUAAAUAGGCCUAGGGUGCCUAAGUGGGCCUAAGGCGGUGCCUAAUGGGCCAUGUGUAUCUAAAUAGGCCUAAGGUGUCUAAGUGAGCCUAAGGUGGUGCCUAAUGGAUCAUGUGUAUCUAAAUGGGCCUAAGGUGCCUAAGUGGGCCUAAAGUGGUGCCUAAUGGGCCAUGUGUAUCUAAAUGGGCCUAGAGGGCCUAAGUGAGCCUAAGUCUAAAUUAAGGCUGCCAAGAGUCACAAUGGAGUUAGAUAAAUCCCUCAACCAAAGUCCCCAAGGUGGCUUAGAGAAAUAUAGACUACACGAGUAGUAAUAGGUCACUAGGGAAUUGCUGUAAAGUACGGAACAAAUACCUAAUAGGACAUGUGCUAGGAGGACAAAAUGGAGGGUCUACAACGAGCCUUUAAUUUUUCAAUUGAACCAUUUGAUUUAUGUUUUAUUUUUAUGAUCCAAUUAUUUACUGUAAUCUUAUGCCUAAGCAGAAUAUCAAUCAACUCUCAAACAUGGUUCCUUACCAUGGAACUCAUUUAUUCCCUUAUAAUUUCUAACCAAUCUACUGAUUUUGGUGAAAUCAAUGCUUUCUUGUAAGAAGUAGGUUCAUUAAUGUCUAAUAGAGCACAAUGUAUCAUUCUUCUACAUUUUAAAGGCAACAAUUAGGAAUGUGACAAUAUUUUAUUCGAUGUCACUUGAGACCUUGUGAAGAUCAUUUUUAUGGUACAUUCCCACUAGAUGGCAAGUCACUCCCAUUAUCUUUGGUGACUUUACGUGGCCAUAUUGGUUUCUAUGUAACUCGAGACCUUGUGAAGAGCCUUUUCAUGGUUCAUUCCUACUAGAUGGCAAAUCACUCUUACUAUAUUUGGUGACUUUAGGAUAGGUUUGUAAUUCCUUAUCAUUACUUAAAGAUUAUGUUGUUUCCUCUUGCAACUCAUGGGUUUCAAGAUUCUUCUUUAUUUCACCAAUAUUGGGAAAACUGCUUUCCAUAAAUCAAUAUCAUCUGAAUAUUUUAAUCAAUCCUUCAUUAGGACAUUUUCUGUAUAUCACAUAACCUUUUAAGAAGUUAGAAUAUUUUAUAAGGACAUUCUUAAUUGCUCUAAGGCCUAACCUCUCAUAUUUAUGAGAAAUGUUAUGAACAUAACUUGUGUAACCCUAAGGUUGCAAAUCUUCUAGAUUUGGUUUUGCGUCAUUCCAGGGCUUAUAUGGAGUAGUGACUAACUUAGAAGGUGCUCGAUUGAAGAUGUCGGUAGUAAUUACAAGAGCAUCCACCUUGAAAAAGAUAUUAGGAGGUUAGCAUAUGGCAUCAUUGACCUAACCAUGUCUAAUAAAGUAUGAAUAUAUAUAUAUAUAUAUAUAUAUAUAUAUAUAUAUAUAUAUAUAUAUAUAUUAUUUUUUUUAAUUUUGUGCUGUACCAUUUUAUUGCGAAGUGCCAAGAAUUGUCAACUUCUUGUGUAUACCUUUCUCCUCACAUAGUUUAUGAAACUAAUGUGACAAGUAUUUAUGACCUCUAUUAGUUUGAAAAAUAUUCAUUUUUUUUGUUAUUCUCAAUUUCUACCAUAAAGCGCUUGAAGUAAUCUAAUGUUUUAAAGUAAUAUGAGAUAAGAUAUGCAAAAUUAAAACAUGAGUAAUUAUUAUAGAUUGUGAAGAAAAAAAUAAGAGGCACCAUGAUGUACCUUCACAUUCAUAGGUCUACAAAUGUCUAUAUGGACCAACUUCAAAGGGUAUGAGACCCUAGGUGCCUUUCUAAAAGGCUUCCUAUAGGCUUUGCUAGCUAGACAAGUCUCUUACAUGGGUAGGCUAACAUUGGUGAGAUACAUUAGAAGGCCUUUUCUAACUACAUAUAUCUUAAUCUAGCAUGCCACUUCAUAGAAUUAGUGGUAUUAUCACAAGCCAUAUAAGAAGAGGCAAAAUCUAAAUUCAACAUAAAAUGGAAUUAUCACAAGCCAUAAUAAAAUUAACGUUGCCAAAUAGAGCCUUAUUUAAAUGGAAUUCAACAUUUGACCAAACAAAAUGAAACAUGAAACUCAGUUCAAGUAGGGCUGUAACUGAAAGCAAAUUACAUUGGAUAUCAAGUGCAUAUAAUACAUCAUCAUAGAGAAGUAGUGUGCACCUCAAACACUAUUUAAGUUGUUAUAUGCCAACUCUUAAAACAUCCUCCUUUGUUUUGUUACCUAGGGUAACAUACUAUCGGCUUAUUAAUAUUGUUUUGUAAUCCACAAAUCUCACUUGAUCUUUUACUACAUUUUUUGUUGCUCUUGAGUGUAUAAUCAACCCAAGAAGAGAAUGAACAACUAAUACAUAUGUAUGAACAUAUGAAAAGAAAGAGUUAGGAUUAAAGUAUACCUUCUUUGGCUCAAUCUACUCACAAGCAAAGUGACCCAAUUUUGCAUAGUUGUAGCAUUUCAUUUUAGCCUUCUUAUUCUCAUCAUGCUUACCUCUCUGAAAAUUUUUUAUUACCUUUCUUUGGACCUAAAUUACCUGUACUACCAUAUUUUCCUUGUCUAUUAUGCUUACACUUGUUAGCUUUUCUUUGUCCCACAUAAACAACAAGUGUGGUGUGUUGCACCCCCUUAGGUGCAUUACUUAUAACUCAAUUAGGUAAGAAAUAUCAGUAAAGGUUUUGAUAUUCUUAUUGUGCGUGAGCACAAGUUUUAUUUAGCCCCAUAAUUUGGGCAAAGAGCAAAAUACUAUUAUGAUAUUUUGCUCAUUAGUUAUGUUAUUAUCGUCAACUUUAAAGUCACAAAUUAGGGUUGAAGUUAAUCUCAAAUGCUUAGCCAUCAUGUGUUUGGCAUCUGUGACAUAUUUUGCUUGAACUUCAAAGUGACUUCACGUAACCUAGUUGCAAUUGUCAAGCCAUACGCAAUUUUGAGCUUAUUCCAUAUUUUCUGAGAAGUGAGGUAGUGCUCGAACAUCCUUAUGAAGUCAUUGUGCAUACUAAUAAACAAGGUAAAGCCUGCACAAUGAUAUUUCUUAACCUAGAAUUGAUAAGCUUUCAUAUCACAAUGUUAUUAGAUUGAAUUUCCUUUUCUCGAGUUGGAUCAUGGCAUCAAGUCAAGGGAUUUAAGACCUCUUGUUCAUUUAAAAAUUAUUAUAUUUUUUGUGCUACAUAUCAUAAUUAUUGUUAUUUAAUUUGUCUCUUUAAGUCAAGUCAACAACAACAUUCUUGGUGGUCAUUUCACUACAUUUAUUGCAUAGAGUAUGAUAUUAACAUAUAUUUCUUAAUUUCAAAUGCAUUGAUGUUAAAUACCAUUACACAUUCAAGGCAUGGUUGGCUAAAUGAGGUGAUUGUGGAAUGCAUUUGUAUGAGUCAUAGGGUUGCAAAUCCUAUGACUAAGCCAAUAGCUCGAGAUGUUUAUCAAGCUCAUAUUAGGAGUUUAAGACUCCAUGGACUGUGAUUUGUUUUUUAUUUACUAAUUGACUAUGGCAUUAGAUCUUUAUUAUUCAGGAUAUUGUUAUUUAUGAUACACAUAUUUCAUUGUCUAUGUUUAAUUGUUGCAUGAUAGAUUUUGGCACACACAUAGUAAGGUAUAUCAAUAGGUAUAUAUAGAUUCACUCACUUGACGGCCUCCUUUAGCGCUCUUGGAAACUGAGCUAAGAUGAAACAUGUUGAGCUUGAGAUGCUAGAAUAGCGGGCUAAGCCAAAUCUAUUUGAGUGUUGUCUUGGAGGGAACCAAGAUGAGGUUUUUUUUUUUUUUUCCCUCUUCCAGAUAGAGUAUAGAAAAAUGUUUAGAUCUCACUAUCCAUACAUAACCUAUAGAAUGGUUGGAUACAAAACCUUAAUAUGCAUGGCACUAGGAUUAGCAAAUUUAUGGAGAUUCGGGUUAGACACCUAGUAGUGACUGGACUAAGAUCCGUAUAGAGUUUUUGAGGAGAGAUAGCUGCUCUUUAAAGAACAUUCCACUAUAACAUGUAUUCCAUACUACAUGUGCUUGGCAGCUAAGAUAAGGAAGUUGAAAAAUGAAUUCUUGCUUCUUCAUUGUAUGAGUCCUUAUAGAUCAUUAUACUUUAGAUGAUUCUAUAUUUUGCUGUGCUCUUUGUGACUUUUGACUUUUCCAUGAAAUGGAGCUAUAAUGUAUGUUACUCUAGCAUAUUUUCUAUGGUCAUGUUUAGAAAACAUUUAGACAAAAAAGAAUAAAAAAUGGUAUGAGGGCGAUAGGAAAACUAUUUAAUAACAUAUCCAUGUUUUAUGUUCAUUGUUGACAAGUUAUUUAGUGCUUAGGUGCUACAUAUUUAACUAUGAACAUAAAUACUAGAUAGAGGGGCUUCUAGCAAGGCUAUGAGAUAUCACUUAAAGGGAUUUGAGAUGCUAAAAAUGAGACGUGACCAAAUGAAUUUGGUGCAUAAUGAGAGAUAGAAUGCUCUAGGAUGGUCUAGAUAAGAUUUGGUAUAUUGCUCGCAAAUUUCUUUUAUAGGUGGCUAGACCAUCGUGUAACUCAUUAAUAAAUAUGUAUGGAAUAGUUAAUAAGAUGUUGAGAGAUGUUUGAGCCUAUUAUGUGUGAAUACGAGAUGUUGGAUUAUUUAUUAUUUUGGGUGUUAUGGGUAGACUAACAGGGGUAUCCUUAGUGGGCUGGACCAAUUAAGGGAUAAGUGGUACACGAGGAAUCUAUUACCAUCUAAUCCUAAUCCUAACCAAAUAAAGAGUUGGAAAAGUUUUUUAGGAUCUCUCUUCUAUAAAUACCUUCUCCUCUCCCUCUUAAUCACAAGAUGGGAGAAUAAUUUCAAAGAAUAGUUCUUGACCUGCGGAUUUCUGUAGGUGAUUCCCGAGUAAAUCAUCUUCAGGUAUGUACCAAAACACCUCCGAAAAUUUAGAUGUAUUUGGGCAUAUAAAAGAAAUAAUUAUAUACGUAAAACUAUUUUUUUUAAAAUAUUAAUAAUUUUAUUUACUACUUUAUAUUUGUCUUGUAAUUAAUUAUUAUAAAAAUCAUAUGAAAAUCCACCCAUUGUCAUUUCACAUGUGAUGUGUGCACACAAAAAUGAGAGAAGAAUGACAAAAUUGGGAUAAAAUUAUGAAAUAUCGUUGGAAUAUCUUGAAUUUUUUUUUUUGGGAAAAUAUAAAAAAAAAAAAAUCAGGCAAUUCUCAUUUAUUCCGUCCAGAUGGUAACAUUUUUGUUCUUUCAUUAAUCAAACGUAUAAUUAUAUAUCAAUAUAAAGUUUAAAGUUUCGAUUAACUGAAAAUUUUCAAAAAAUAUUUUUAAUUUUACUAGGAGGAAAUUAUUGCUUAAAGUUGAUGAAACUUACUAGACAAGUGAAGUCAAUUAUGGAAGCUCAUUUGUUAAUAAAACCUUUCCCUGAUGAAUCCCCUCCCAAUACUCCCCACUUGUGCUUGGAAAGACACCUUCAACCACUUUAAAAAUUGAAAAAAGUAUAGAUAAUUUAAAAAUUCUGAAGAAAAAAAAAACGUUUGAGAAUCAAUAGGUUAAAUAAAAAUGAGAUAUUUGUUGAAUUACUUUUUGAAUAUUAAAGUUAAAUGACAUGUGAUGUAAUCCUGAAGAAGGAUCGAAAAUAGUGUAUUGGUUAUUGGGUUGUUGAGGUUAUGACUUCAAAUUUAGAAAUCCAACUGUGAAUGACCUUUUCACGAGCAAUGAAGAAAGUUGGUAGCAGCUUCCCACACAUGGAAAACUAAAAUAAACAAUCAGCGGAAAAGUCUUCCUCUGGGUAGUUGAAGAACAGGGAAGAAAGAGACAGCACAAAUACAUUAACACAUGUCCGAAAAUGAACCCCACCAAAAAAUAAACUCAAGCACACAAACUUUGAAGCCAACUGAUCAGUGACAGUCAAUGGAUAAGAGUUGGUGAGACACAGGUUAUAAAAGCCCAACACUCACAUCCAUCUUUCUCAAGCCAGCUCCAAGCAUUCUUCUCUUUCCUCCCUCGACUUAAUCUUGAGCUUCAAUUUGAGUACGUAGCUGGCAUCAAUGGCUUCAGUUGAGGAAAUUAGAAACGCUCAACGUGCCAAGGGUCCGGCCACCAUCCUAGCCAUUGGCACAGCUACUCCCGACCACUGUGUCCACCAGUCUGAUUAUGCUGAUUACUAUUUCAGGGUCACUAAGAGCGAGCACAUGACUGAGUUGAAGAAGAAGUUCAAUCGUAUAUGUAAGUAUAUUCAUGCAUUAAUUCUUAUAUACAUAACACAUCUAUACAUAUAAGAGUGUGUGCUAUUAGGUGAGACUCACCUCCGAGUGAAUGGAUGUUUCAAGCUUUCUAGAGUAUAGCUUUUAGAUAAAUUACUUUAGGAAACUUGAAAAUAAUUUUACUUCAAUAACCAAUAUUCCUUGCAUCUGACUGUAAUGGCUUGAAGCGCUGUUCUUUGAACAUGUAGCAUUGCUCGCUAUAAUUAAGAAUACCCACUUAUACUUGCUUCAAUGUUAAAUGCAUGUUGAUUAUCUUGAACAAUAUACUAUAUGACUUGUCAAUUGGUAAAACUAAUGUGUUCAUGUUACUUCUUUUAUAGGUGACAAAUCAAUGAUAAAAAAACGUUACAUUCAUUUGACUGAAGAAAUGCUUGAGGAUCAUCCAAACAUUGGUGCUUAUAUGGCUCCAUCUCUUAACAUACGCUAAGAGAUUAUCACAGCUGAGGUACCUAAGGUUGGUAAGGAAGCAGCAUUGAAGGCACUUAAAGAGUGGGGCCAGCCAAAGUCCAAGAUCACCCACCUUGUAUUUUGUACAACUUCAGGUGUAGAAAUGCCUGGUGCUGAUUAUAAACUUGCUAAUCUCUUGGGUCUUGAAACUUCAGUUAGAAGAGUUAUGUUGUACCAUCAAGGGUGCUAUGCAGGUGGAACUGUCCUUCGAACCGCUAAAGAUCUUGCAGAGAAUAAUGCAGGAGCACGAGUCCUUGUGGUGUGCUCUAAGAUCACUGUUGUUACAUUCCGAGGACCUUCCAAAGAUUCUUUGGAUUCUUUAGUUGGUCAAGCCCUUUUUGGUGAUGGGUUUGCAGCUGUGAUUGUUAGAUCAGAUUCAGAUGUCUCGAUUGAACGACCCUUCUUCUAGCUAGUUUCAGCAGCCCAAACGUUUAUUCCUAAUUCAGCAGGUGCCAUUGCGGGCAACUUACGUGAGGUGGGACUUACCUUUCAUUUAUGGCCUAAUGUGCUGACUUUGAUUUCCGAGAACAUAGAGAAAUGCUUGACUCAAGCUUUUGAUCCACUUGGUAUUAGCGAUUGGAACUCGUUAUUUUGGAUUGCCCAUCCAGGUGGCCCUGCAAUUCUUGAUGCAGUUGAAGCAAAACUCAAUUUAGAUAAAAAGAAACUUGAAGCAACAAGACAUGUGUUGAGUGAGUACGGUAACAUGUCAAGUGCAUGUGUGUUGUUUAUUUUGGAUGAGAUGAGGAGGAAAUCAUUGAAGGGGAAAAAGGCCACCACAGGUGAAGGAUUGGAUUGGGGAGUAUUGUUCGGUUUUGACCAGGCUUGACCAUCGAGACCGUUGUACUGCAUAGCAUACCUAUGGCUACAAAUUGAGUAAAGAACGAUAAGAAAAGUUAUAUACAAGCCAUGUCUUAUUGUAUUAAGGAGGUGUUAAUGAAGAUAUAUACAUAUAUUUGCAAAGUUAGUAAUAAUUUGAUUUUUUUAUUAUUUCUAUUUUAAAUGAGGAGAUUGUAAUUUAGUGAUCGUUGAAAGGUGUAGUGACCUGAAGUUAAAAGGAUGAGACAUCAAGUUCUUAUUGUUUUAUAUUCUUGAAGUUUCCUCGAAAGUUAUAGUUUUCUUUUGUCAUAAAUACCAUUGAAAAAAGAAAACCAAAAGAAUUAGAUAUAUAGCACCAAUUUUAAAUUUUGGUAAUGUAGCCAAGAAGUUUUCAACUUAAUUUACUUUCCUCUUGUUUGAAUUCUGAUUGAACACAAAUAUAGUUGAAAGUUUGCUUGUAAUCAAUUUUGGCCUCUCUCAAAUGUGUAUGCCAAAGCCUAGUAUCCUAAACUACAUGGAAUUUGUUAUGUUGGGUCUAAAUGUGCAACAAUAGCUAGAAUAAGGUGAAUAAAGGUAAAUGUAAGGGAGAAUGUCUCUUCAUAAUCUAUAUACUCUUUCUUUUGGUAUAUCCUUUGGCC